ACUGAUCCCCAUUUUCUCCUGCAAUGAAUAUAGAAAUUCAGGCCCAAGACCUCAGACUAAUUUGCAGCAAGUUCCAUGCCCUGUGAGUCUCGGUUUUCUCAUCUGCAGAAUGGGAACACUCCCACUUAACCUCACAGGAUUAAUGCCAACUGGCCCGAGGC
This is a long non-coding RNA of Orcinus orca (killer whale), 161 nucleotides long. RefSeq lists it as uncharacterized. The record is from RefSeq and is a predicted model, not a curated record. The transcript is spliced from 3 exons. NCBI's taxonomy places the organism in Eukaryota, Metazoa, Chordata, Mammalia, Artiodactyla, Delphinidae.